AUGAGGGCCUGAGGCAGACACAGAAGGAACAUUCGCAAACUCUGACUUUCAGGAAGACAAGAGAAAUGGCUGUCAGCGCUCCUGUGAGUCCACCAGGCGGGGGCGCUGCUCAGUCUCGGGGCGGGUGGGGGGCUCUUUGUCUUCGGGAAGGCCCCGGGCCUGGGACCUCCAGCUGGACGGGUGGGAUGCCUGGCUCCCAGUUCCUGCACUUGCGUCUCUAGAGCAGCUUUGGGAGAGGCGGAGCACCAGGUCAGAAGGCCAGCUGUUCGAGGAGAAACCGCCCAGGCGCCCACGUACCUGCGGGUGGUACCGGCCAAUGUCGGUGAGAAGCUGGUGGAUGAGGCGUCCCACCAGGGGCCUGGGCGUAUCAAUUCUUGCAAUGAGCUGAGGUAUGACCUGGUAUUCAGAAAGACCCGGAAUGCAGCACGUGAGACACAGAAACAACUAGUUAUUCUCCUGGGCAACGACCAGCUCUUACAACUUGUCACGGUAGAUGCUGGGAAGCUCUGAAACGGUUCGUUCCCUUCAGUCCUCUGGGAGAAACUAAAGAAACUAUGGCUCGACCCCUACCUCUUUACCACUGUUGACUGAACACGCGCGACUCCGGGAGGAGGCAGACCAGGAGUGAGUCCGACCCUGCCUUACCUGUAACCACGUGUCAAUCUGGAUCGCCUUCACCCCCUCCACCAAGGCUUCGUUUACGUCCGGCCAGUGACCGUAAUCAAACCACAGGGUGAGGACCCUGGAAACAAAACAUGAGAAAGUCACAGAAAACUUAGUCUCCCAGCUUGUGCGUGUGUGUGUUUUAAUCUUCAAGGCUCUUGAGAAAAGAAUUAACUGGCAGGGCCUCAAAUCGGUGGCUCCCCAGCGUUUGGUCUCGGGACCGCCUGGGAGGGUGGGUGGUGAUGGCCGUUUAGAACUGGGCUCACACGAGGAGGGGCAUCCCAAGCGAAUGCUUAUUUUAUCCCAGAUAAAAUCCCAGAGGGAUCGGCACGGUGCGAGCUCGGAAAUCGGACAGAUGAGCCCGGGGCUAAUCACGGAUAGUCUCUGCACGUAUAGAAAAUCACCUGUAGAACAGUGUCAACGGGCUAAAUGUGGGACUUAGCUGCCCCUUGUCACCUAUGGUCUCCGGACUGGCCGGUCUGUGCCAUGUUUAGGCCUUCCUAAGUGGCCUCUAAAAGCCGAGGGCAUUUCGGCACUCAGGCUUCCUCCUGACAGAACACAGCACACGGAGUGCUCCCAGGCCACUUCCUCCUCCUGGGUCUCGGCAGGGGGAGGCCUGUCAGCAGUUCCCUUUGGACACACCCAUCAGGGUGGGGCGGGGGAGGGGACCUCCGUGUCAUUCCGUGUCCCGCAGAGGCUCACGCAGCCUAGCAGGGCCCGCCCUUCGAUACCUCAGCGUGUCCUGGAGGUUGUUGCCUCGCGACAAGGAGAUAGAACGGAAGAAGCCCUGGACGGCAGGGACGGUGUACAUCAAGAGGGUUUUGGACAAAUCCUGUUGGAAUACACAUUCUUGCCUUAGUGUUCCCAUCCGUUAAGAGGGGAUCCGUAAGAGCAGCAUCCCAACAGUAUCUACCUCAAGGAGUGGUUACCAAGUUAAAUCAGUUAAUGCAUGACGAGCCUCUGGACUAGUACCUGCACACAGCAAGCACUCAAUAAAUGGCAACUGUGUCAUAAUCGCUAUCAUCUUGGGCUAACGGUGGCUUCCUGAGCAGGGUGGCAGGAGGAGGGGCACGGAGUCUGAACACGCUGCUCUCUGAACUGACAGCCCGGAGGGAGGCGGGGCGCGGGGGGGAAAGGCGAAGGCAGAGGACGGAUCCCGUCAGCCUCUGUCCUCAAGUGGACCCGCAGAUGUGCACGGCCACCCACGCGCGCAGGUGCAGGGCUUUCAGGGAAUGAGCUCAUUCUCAUGGGAAGAACGACAAGAAACUCAAUCUUCAGCUUUGGGGCCAUAGCAACGCCUCAAAUACAAAUACGAGCACAAGGGCACCGUCUCAAACAAUGGCGGAUGGCAAAUGAGCAACAUCGUCUAGCUAUGCGCCUUUUGAUCCCAGAGGGAUUAAAUCACAAAGUAUCAACAAGUUAAAGAAAUACUGGAAAGAAGUGAUGACAUCUGUUACACCAUGCGGCCAUUACCAGGAGGUCCCUGAGGAAGGUCUAAAAACUCAGGUCUCCUAUGCCAUAACAGGAUGUUACCCAGAGCUUUCCAAUACAAAUAAGAGAAAGUCAAGUUCUCAGAUGAGGACCAGGCAGGGAUGGAAAUCAGGAAGAAGCCGGGAAGGAGCGGAUGACCCAAGGGAAGACAGAGUUCCAGAGAUGAACUGUGUGUCCAGAUGCUCGUAGGAAAACAAUCCGCUAAGAGUCUAGAAGACAACAUCAUUCCCCAGAGCCA
This is a long non-coding RNA of Felis catus (domestic cat), 2392 nucleotides long. RefSeq lists it as uncharacterized. The transcript is spliced from 3 exons. Lineage: Eukaryota; Metazoa; Chordata; Mammalia; Carnivora; Felidae. The record is from RefSeq and is a predicted model, not a curated record.